Molecule: long non-coding RNA, 1224 nt
Organism: Homo sapiens (human)
Lineage: Eukaryota; Metazoa; Chordata; Mammalia; Primates; Hominidae
Product: long intergenic non-protein coding RNA 2177
Source: Ensembl
AGUCCCCAGGAGAGGCUGGUGCAGGAAGGCUCAGACACUGUGUUCUCUGACAUAAUUUAUAGACGGGGUCUCACCUUGUUGCCUAGGCUGGUCUCGAACUUCUGACCUCAAGUGAUCCACCCACCCCCGCCUCUCCAAGUGUGGAAUUACAGGGCUUCUAUGAGGCUGUCUUGUAGGAUGCCCAUGACGAUCCUCCAGACACUAAGUGGCCCCAAGACCAAUUUGGUAGCGAGCCCAAGGCCCCUGGACGAGUCAGUUCUAGUCUGGAGACAGGAGCUGACUGCUGAUGUCUGCCAAAGCUGGCAUUGUUUUCCUUUUGCAAGAAGAAAAUGAGAAAACUAAGGCCCAAAGGGACACCUGGCUUUCCUAAGACCUGUAAGUGGAAGAGUCAGCAUUUGAAUGGAGAACUCGCAGCUUUCGGAGUCUAGACUUGUUUUACCUCACCAGACUGCUUCUACUCCUAGUGAUUCCUUCCCUUAGAUUAAGCCUUGCUCUCUUCCCGUGCAAUCAUGAAGAGGAUUAUAUUAGUAAAUCCCUGAACAUUCCCUGAUUGGGGAGUGAGGGUCAAACCAAGGCAAAUGGCAGGAUUGACACUCACAUCAAGGGCUGGCUCAUUAAGGGCUCGGGACCUGGCGAUCGAGUUGCAUUGCAGAUUUUGGAAGUAUGCAAGACCACGCCAGCCACCUUUCCAGGGAGAGACCAUGCAAAGAAGGCAGGUGAUCCAAGGGCUGGGAGUGGUGAGGACUGCUCCAGCCCCUGAGCAGCUGUCAUCCCAGCACAAAGUGUCAGAAGAGACCUCAAAGUGUGGUCUGCAGACGAGGCAGCAUCUGCAUCACCUGGGAGCUUGUUAGAAAUGCAGAAUCUUCUGAGAGAACCAGACCUGCUGCAUCAAAAUCUGCAUUUUAACAAGAUUGUAACUUAGAUACACAGUAACACUUAAAAAGGAUGGGGCAGAGAGGCUAAGUCAGCAGCUUCUCAUCACACUCCAAUCUGAUGCUGCUAGUGCUCCAAAAAGCUCUCAUAUCCUCACUGACUAGCCUAGGGCUGUGUCUAUCAAUGCAUUAUAUGACACAGAUGAAGACUAUUGUGUACCUUCCUCAAUUUUUACCCCAUUGUUUCAGCCUUUUGUACAUCUUUAAUGCAAACAUCCAUGCGAGAAUUCUUGUGACAUUAAUUUUUUGGAACAACCUGUUUUGCAGAGCAAAUUUCAUUAAGCCAUUUUAA